This 550-nucleotide ribosomal RNA is filed under the name uncultured bacterium. RNAcentral describes it as "bacterial SSU rRNA". It matches the Rfam family "Bacterial small subunit ribosomal RNA", at positions 48 to 642 of the family's 1533-position model. The record is from RNAcentral.
CUUACACAUGCAAGUCGAGCGCGUGUAGCAAUACACGAGCGGCGCACGGGUGAGUAACGCGUGGAUAUCUGCCUUUUGGUUCGGAAUAACCCCGGGAAACUGGGGCUAAUACCGGAUGGUUCCUACGGGAUAAAGAUUUAUCGCCAAAAGAUGAGUCCGCGUCCGAUUAGCUAGUUGGUGAGGUAACGGCUCACCAGGGCGACGAUCGGUAGCUGGUCUGAGAGGACGAUCAGCCACACUGGGACUGAGACACGGCCCAGACUCCUACGGGAGGCAGCAGUGGGGAAUAUUGGACAAUGGGGGCAACCCUGAUCCAGCCAUGCCGCGUGAGUGAUGAAGGCCUUCGGGUUGUAAAGCUCUUUUGGCGGGGACGAUGAUGACGGUACCCGCAGAAUAAGCCCCGGCUAACUUCGUGCCAGCAGCCGCGGUAAGACGAAGGGGGCUAGCGUUGUUCGGAAUUACUGGGCGUAAAGCGCGUGUAGGCGGUUGUCCAAGUUGGAUGUGAAAGCCUUGAGCUCAACUCAAGAAAUGCAUUCAGGACUGGAUGACU